This 2902-nucleotide ribosomal RNA is filed under the name Escherichia coli. Its description in RNAcentral is "23S ribosomal RNA". It matches the Rfam family "Bacterial large subunit ribosomal RNA". Lineage: Bacteria; Pseudomonadati; Pseudomonadota; Gammaproteobacteria; Enterobacterales; Enterobacteriaceae. The record is from RNAcentral.
UUAAGCGACUAAGCGUACACGGUGGAUGCCCUGGCAGUCAGAGGCGAUGAAGGACGUGCUAAUCUGCGAUAAGCGUCGGUAAGGUGAUAUGAACCGUUAUAACCGGCGAUUUCCGAAUGGGGAAACCCAGUGUGUUUCGACACACUAUCAUUAACUGAAUCCAGGGUUAAUGAGGCGAACCGGGGGAACUGAAACAUCUAAGUACCCCGAGGAAAAGAAAUCAACCGAGAUUCCCCCAGUAGCGGCGAGCGAACGGGGAGCAGCCCAGAGCCUGAAUCAGUGUGUGUGUUAGUGGAAGCGUCUGGAAAGGCGCGCGAUACAGGGUGACAGCCCCGUACACAAAAAUGCACAUGCUGUGAGCUCGAUGAGUAGGGCGGGACACGUGGUAUCCUGUCUGAAUAUGGGGGGACCAUCCUCCAAGGCUAAAUACUCCUGACUGACCGAUAGUGAACCAGUACCGUGAGGGGAAAGGCGAAAAGAACCCCGGCGAGGGGAGUGAAAAAGAACCUGAAACCGUGUACGUACAAGCAGUGGGAGCACGCUUAGGCGUGUGACUGCGUACCUUUUGUAUAAUGGGUCAGCGACUUAUAUUCUGUAGCAAGGUUAACCGAAUAGGGGAGCCGAAGGGAAACCGAGUCUUAACUGGGCGUUAAGUUGCAGGGUAUAGACCCGAAACCCGGUGAUCUAGCCAUGGGCAGGUUGAAGGUUGGGUAACACUAACUGGAGGACCGAACCGACUAAUGUUGAAAAAUUAGCGGAUGACUUGUGGCUGGGGGUGAAAGGCCAAUCAAACCGGGAGAUAGCUGGUUCUCCCCGAAAGCUAUUUAGGUAGCGCCUCGUGAAUUCAUCUCCGGGGGUAGAGCACUGUUUCGGCAAGGGGGUCAUCCCGACUUACCAACCCGAUGCAAACUGCGAAUACCGGAGAAUGUUAUCACGGGAGACACACGGCGGGUGCUAACGUCCGUCGUGAAGAGGGAAACAACCCAGACCGCCAGCUAAGGUCCCAAAGUCAUGGUUAAGUGGGAAACGAUGUGAAGGAAGGCCCAGACAGCCAGGAUGUUGGCUUAGAAGCAGCCAUCAUUUAAAGAAAGCGUAAUAGCUCACUGGUCGAGUCGGCCUGCGCGGAAGAUGUAACGGGGCUAAACCAUGCACCGAAGCUGCGGCAGCGACGCUGAUGCGUUGUUGGGUAGGGGAGCGUUCUGUAAGCCUGCGAAGGUGUGCUGUGAGGCAUGCUGGAGGUAUCAGAAGUGCGAAUGCUGACAUAAGUAACGAUAAAGCGGGUGAAAAGCCCGCUCGCCGGAAGACCAAGGGUUCCUGUCCAACGUUAAUCGGGGCAGGGUGAGUCGACCCCUAAGGCGAGGCCGAAAGGCGUAGUCGAUGGGAAACAGGUUAAUAUUCCUGUACUUGGUGUUACUGCGAAGGGGGGACGGAGAAGGCUAUGUUGGCCGGGCGACGGUUGUCCCGGUUUAAGCGUGUAGGCUGGUUUUCCAGGCAAAUCCGGAAAAUCAAGGCUGAGGCGUGAUGACGAGGCACUACGGUGCUGAAGCAACAAAUGCCCUGCUUCCAGGAAAAGCCUCUAAGCAUCAGGUAACAUCAAAUCGUACCCCAAACCGACACAGGUGGUCAGGUAGAGAAUACCAAGGCGCUUGAGAGAACUCGGGUGAAGGAACUAGGCAAAAUGGUGCCGUAACUUCGGGAGAAGGCACGCUGAUAUGUAGGUGAGGUCCCUCGCGGAUGGAGCUGAAAUCAGUCGAAGAUACCAGCUGGCUGCAACUGUUUAUUAAAAACACAGCACUGUGCAAACACGAAAGUGGACGUAUACGGUGUGACGCCUGCCCGGUGCCGGAAGGUUAAUUGAUGGGGUUAGCGCAAGCGAAGCUCUUGAUCGAAGCCCCGGUAAACGGCGGCCGUAACUAUAACGGUCCUAAGGUAGCGAAAUUCCUUGUCGGGUAAGUUCCGACCUGCACGAAUGGCGUAAUGAUGGCCAGGCUGUCUCCACCGAGACUCAGUGAAAUUGAACUCGCUGUGAAGAUGCAGUGUACCCGCGGCAAGACGGAAAGACCCCGUGAACCUUUACUAUAGCUUGACACUGAACAUUGAGCCUUGAUGUGUAGGAUAGGUGGGAGGCUUAGAAGUGUGGACGCCAGUCUGCAUGGAGCCGACCUUGAAAUACCACCCUUUAAUGUUUGAUGUUCUAACGUUGACCCGUAAUCCGGGUUGCGGACAGUGUCUGGUGGGUAGUUUGACUGGGGCGGUCUCCUCCUAAAGAGUAACGGAGGAGCACGAAGGUUGGCUAAUCCUGGUCGGACAUCAGGAGGUUAGUGCAAUGGCAUAAGCCAGCUUGACUGCGAGCGUGACGGCGCGAGCAGGUGCGAAAGCAGGUCAUAGUGAUCCGGUGGUUCUGAAUGGAAGGGCCAUCGCUCAACGGAUAAAAGGUACUCCGGGGAUAACAGGCUGAUACCGCCCAAGAGUUCAUAUCGACGGCGGUGUUUGGCACCUCGAUGUCGGCUCAUCACAUCCUGGGGCUGAAGUAGGUCCCAAGGGUAUGGCUGUUCGCCAUUUAAAGUGGUACGCGAGCUGGGUUUAGAACGUCGUGAGACAGUUCGGUCCCUAUCUGCCGUGGGCGCUGGAGAACUGAGGGGGGCUGCUCCUAGUACGAGAGGACCGGAGUGGACGCAUCACUGGUGUUCGGGUUGUCAUGCCAAUGGCACUGCCCGGUAGCUAAAUGCGGAAGAGAUAAGUGCUGAAAGCAUCUAAGCACGAAACUUGCCCCGAGAUGAGUUCUCCCUGACCCUUUAAGGGUCCUGAAGGAACGUUGAAGACGACGACGUUGAUAGGCCGGGUGUGUAAGCGCAGCGAUGCGUUGAGCUAACCGGUACUAAUGAACCGUGAGGCUUAACCU